CCACAAAUAGCUCAGUUGCUUAGAGUGUGGUGCUGAUAAUGCCAUGGUUGCAAGUUCAAUCCCUUUAUGGG
Podarcis lilfordi (Lilford's wall lizard) is the source of this 71-nucleotide non-coding RNA. The record is from the annotation of a GenBank genome assembly. Lineage: Eukaryota; Metazoa; Chordata; Lepidosauria; Squamata; Lacertidae.